RNAcentral lists this ribosomal RNA (512 nucleotides) under uncultured bacterium. Its description in RNAcentral is "partial 16S ribosomal RNA". It matches the Rfam family "Bacterial small subunit ribosomal RNA", at positions 28 to 523 of the family's 1533-position model. The record is from RNAcentral.
GACGAACGCUGGCGGCGUGCCUAAUACAUGCAAGUCGAGCGAAUGGAUGGGAGCUUGCUCCCUGAAGUUAGCGGCGGACGGGUGAGUAACACGUGGGCAACCUGCCUAUAAGACUGGGAUAACUUCGGGAAACCGGAGCUAAUACCAGAUAAUUCAUAUCUACUCAUGUAGGUGUGCUUAAAGACGGUUUACGCUGUCACUUAUAGAUGGGCCCGCGGCGCAUUAGCUAGUUGGGGAGGUAACGGCUCACCAAGGCGACGAUGCGUAGCCGACCGGAGAGGGUGAUCGGCCACACUAGGACUGAGACACGGCCCAGACUCCUACGGGAGGCAGCAGUAGGGAAUCUUCCGCAAUGGACGAAAGUCUGACGGAGCAACGCCGCGUGAGUGAUGAAGGUUUUCGGAUCGUAAAACUCUGUUGUUAGGGAAGAACAAGUACUAGCGUAACUGCUAGUACCUUGACGGUACCUACCCAGAAAGCCACGGCUAACUACGUGCCAGCCGCCGCGGUAA